Molecule: ribosomal RNA, 446 nt
Filed under: uncultured Bacillota bacterium
Lineage: Bacteria; Bacillati; Bacillota
Description: bacterial SSU rRNA
Rfam family: Bacterial small subunit ribosomal RNA
Source: RNAcentral
GGGAAUUUUCCGCAAUGGGCGAAAGCCUGAUGGAGCAACGCCGCGUGAGUGAAGAAGGUCUUGGGAUUGUAAAGCUCUGUCCUUAGGUAAGAACCGUGGGUAUAACAAAUGAUACCCACCUGACGGUACCUUUGGAGGAAGCACUGGCUAACUACGUGCCAGCAGCCGCGGUAAUACGUAGAGUGCAAGCGUUGUCCGGAAUUAUUGGGCGUAAAGGGUACGCAGGCGGAUAACCAAGUCAAGCGUGAAAGGUGUCGGCUUAACCGACAGACUGCGUUUGAAACUGAUUAUCUUGAGUGUAACAGAGGAGAGUGGAAUUCCUAGUGUAGUGGUGAAAUACGUAGAUAUUAGGAAGAACACCAGUGGCGAAGGCGACUCUCUGGGUUAACACUGACGCUGAGGUACGAAAGCUGGGGGAGCGAAAGGGAUUAGAUACCCCUGUAGUC